This 306-nucleotide unclassified non-coding RNA is filed under the name Hevea brasiliensis (rubber tree). The record is from RNAcentral. Lineage: Eukaryota; Viridiplantae; Streptophyta; Magnoliopsida; Malpighiales; Euphorbiaceae.
CAACCCAAAAAAAAAAAAAGGGAUUAUUGAGUAAUUAUUUAGGGAAAAAAACUGACCUAAUUUCAAUUUGUGAAAAGAAGCCUCUCUGUGCUUUAAUCCAAUCAUCAAAUCAGAUUUCGAGGCCUCAAGCAAACAAGUCAUGUCUUUCUCUACCAAAGCUUCCUUCAUCUAUACAACAAAUCAGAUACAAAAUCCCACAAAUCCCUCAAAACCCCCAAAUUCAAACAUCAUCAAAACCUAAUCUUAUAAGCAAUCGAAAUUUCCAUGAAAUUUCGAGCUAACCUGAGUGAUAUGAUCUUCGUAGAG